UUGAUGGUCCAACGGGCGACAACAAUGUAAUUUAUAAUCGGUUUGAAUGUACGGUCCAACAAGGUUUAAUGUUCGAGAUCAAGUUUCCCAGAAGAAUGAAAGCACUUCGACGAUGAGAUCCUUGCUUAGAUUCCAUUUGAACAACUAGUCGUCACGGAUUCCGCACUUCGUCUUUCUUCUCCCACCACUCCGUGCUCUUUUCUUCAAAUUGGAAAAUUAUUGAGUCACUUAAGUUUCUCCAAAAAACGGAAGCACUUUGACGAUGAGAUGUUUUUUUUUAUUCAAUUGGAACAAUUGAUAGUUACGAAUUCUGAUCUUCGUCAUCCUUCUUUCUCCAACCCGUGUGUUCUUUUCAUCAAUUAGGAAAAUUCUUCAGUUAUUUAAGAUGAUUUAAUGGAAACUCAAAAGUUCCUGAAAUGUUGUGGACCGUCGACUGUACCAGUCUUCUUUCAAUCCAGAACGUAGAAGUACUGGGAAGUGCUUUUUUCCACUGGAAAAUAGGAUUCAUCAUCACAUCAUCAUCAUAAGGUCGUCAGUCCUAAGACUGGUUGGACACGCAUCUCCACUACAAAAGUAGUUCACACAUUCUUUCUUCCUCCCUUUAAUGCUUCUAUCAUCACAACAACAAACUACGAUUGUUGACAAUGAAUUCGUUACGUACUAUUGGGUACAUCAGGGACCAGGAUAAUCAUGAGGUUUCUCCAGAAGAAUGAAAGCACUUAGACGAUAGGAUAUUUGAUUUGAUUCCACAAAAGCAACUAAUAGUUACGAAUUCUGCACUUCAAUAUCCUUGGUCUUCGACUCCGUGUGCUGUUUUUCCAGUUGGAAAUUCUUCAUUUACUUAAGGUAGGGAUACAUACAAUAAUUAUAUAAUAUAUUUCAGGGCUCAUUUGCUGAAACCAUACACUAAUAAUAACUAAAAGUAUAGAGGUAACAAUGACGGUUUCAAUUUUGAGCAAUUUCUAGUCAAAUUUUAUAAUCAGAUGUAACAUAAA
Molecule: long non-coding RNA, 995 nt
Organism: Agrilus planipennis (emerald ash borer)
Lineage: Eukaryota; Metazoa; Arthropoda; Insecta; Coleoptera; Buprestidae
Exons: 5
Source: RefSeq, a predicted model, not a curated record